UACAGAGGUCCCGAGCGUUGUUCGGAUUCACUGGGCGUAAAGGGUGCGUAGGUGGUGAGGUAAGUCGGAUGUGAAAGCUCCAAGCUUAACUUGGAAAUGGCAUCGGAUACUAUUCGGCUCGAGGAAUGGAGGGGAGACUGGAAUACUUGGUGUAGCAGUGAAAUGCGUAGAUAUCAAGUGGAACACCAGUGGCGAAGGCGAGUCUCUGGACAUUUCCUGACGCUGAGGCGCGAAAGCCAGGGGAGCAAACGGG
This 253-nucleotide ribosomal RNA is filed under the name uncultured bacterium. Its description in RNAcentral is "partial 16S ribosomal RNA". It matches the Rfam family "Bacterial small subunit ribosomal RNA", at positions 524 to 776 of the family's 1533-position model. The record is from RNAcentral.